GUUUGAUCAUGGCUCAGAGUGAACGCUGGCGGCAGGCCUAAUACAUGCAAGUCGAACGGCAGCACAGCAGAGCUUGCUCUGUGGGUGGCGAGUGGCGGACGGGUGAGGAAUACAUGGGAAUCUGCCCAGUCGUGGGGGAUAACGUAGGGAAACUUACGCUAAUACCGCAUGCGCCCUUCGGGGGAAAGCCGGGGACCUUCGGGCCUGGCGCGAUUGGAUGAGCCCAUGUCGGAUUAGCUAGUUGGCGGGGUAAUGGCCCACCAAGGCGACGAUCCGUAGCUGGUCUGAGAGGAUGAUCAGCCACACUGGAACUGAGACACGGUCCAGACUCCUACGGGAGGCAGCAGUAGGGAAUAUUGGACAAUGGGCGCAAGCCUGAUCCAGCCAUGCCGCGUGAGUGAAGAAGGCCCUCGGGUUGUAAAGCUCUUUUGUCCGGAAAGAAAAGCGCCGGGUUAAUACCCUAGUGUCCUGACGGUACCGGAAGAAUAAGCACCGGCUAACUUCGUG
Molecule: ribosomal RNA, 507 nt
Filed under: uncultured bacterium
Lineage: Bacteria
Description: bacterial SSU rRNA
Rfam family: Bacterial small subunit ribosomal RNA
Source: RNAcentral